RNAcentral lists this ribosomal RNA (209 nucleotides) under uncultured bacterium. RNAcentral's name for it is "partial 16S ribosomal RNA". It matches the Rfam family "Bacterial small subunit ribosomal RNA", at positions 568 to 774 of the family's 1533-position model. The record is from RNAcentral.
CGCGUAGGCGGUCUAUUAAGUCAGUUGUUAAAGAUCAUGGCUUACCCAUGAAACAGCAAUUGAUACUGGUAGACUAAGGAGGGCAAGAGAGAGAAGUGGAAUUCUCGGAGUAGCGGUAAAAUGCGUAGAUCUCGAGAGGAACACCGAUGGCGAAGGCAGCUUCUUGGCUUGUACCUGACGCUGAGGCGCGAAAGCGUGGGGAGCAAACA